GACGAACGCUGGCGGCGUGCUUAACACAUGCGAGUCGAACGGUGAAGCUCCAGCUUGCUGGAGUGGAUCAGUGGCGAACGGGUGAGUAACACGUGAGCAACCUGCCCCUGACUCUGGAAUAAGCGCUGGAAACGGCGUCUAAUACUGGAUACGAGAAGGGCCCGCAUGGGCACUUUCUGGAAAGUUUUUCGGUUGGGGAUGGGCUCGCGGCCUAUCAGCUUGUUGGUGAGGUAAUGGCUCACCAAGGCGACGACGGGUAGCCGGCCUGAGAGGGCGACCGGCCACACUGGGACUGAGACACGGCCCAGACUCCUACGGGAGGCAGCAGUGGGGAAUAUUGCACAAUGGGCGAAAGCCUGAUGCAGCGACGCCGCGUGAGGGAUGACGGCCUUCGGGUUGUAAACCUCUUUCAGCAGGGAAGAAGCGAAAGUGACGGUACCUGCAGAAGAAGCACCGGCUAACUACGUG
RNAcentral lists this ribosomal RNA (468 nucleotides) under uncultured bacterium. RNAcentral's name for it is "partial 16S ribosomal RNA". It matches the Rfam family "Bacterial small subunit ribosomal RNA", at positions 28 to 507 of the family's 1533-position model. The record is from RNAcentral.